Molecule: ribosomal RNA, 856 nt
Filed under: uncultured bacterium
Lineage: Bacteria
Description: bacterial SSU rRNA
Rfam family: Bacterial small subunit ribosomal RNA
Source: RNAcentral
GUUGAACGCUGGCGGCGUGCCUAACACAUGCAAGUCGAGCGAGGUUGAGGAGGAGGAUACUCUAAAUCGACCUAGCGGCGGACGGGUGAGUAACGCGUGGGUAACCUGCCCUGUGCUAGGGGAUAACAAUGGGAAACCAUUGCUAAUACCCUAUAAAGCUAGGGAUUCGCAUGAAUAACUAGCCAAAGAAAUAUCGGCACAGGAUGGGCCCGCGUCUGAUUAGCUAGUUGGUAGGGUAACGGCCUACCAAGGCGACGAUCAGUAGCCGGCCUGAGAGGGUGGACGGCCACACUGGAACUGAGACACGGUCCAGACUCCUACGGGAGGCAGCAGUGGGGAAUAUUGCACAAUGGGGGAAACCCUGAUGCAGCGACGCCACGUGAGUGAAGAAGGCCUUCGGGUCGUAAAGCUCUGUCCUAAGGGAAGAAAGAUGACGGUACCUUAGGAGGAAGCCCCGGCUAACUACGUGCCAGCAGCCGCGGUAAUACGUAGGGGGCGAGCGUUAUCCGGAAUCACUGGGCGUAAAGGGUGCGUAGGCGGCCGAUCAAGCCAGGGGUGAAAGGCUACGGCUUAACCGUAGUGAGCCUUUGGAACUGAUUGGCUUGAGUGCAGGAGAGGAGAGUGGAAUUCCUAGUGUAGCGGUGAAAUGCGUAGAUAUUAGGAGGAACACCAGUGGCGAAGGCGACUCUCUGGACUGUAACUGACGCUGAGGCACGAAAGCGUGGGGAGCAAACAGGAUUAGAUACCCUGGUAGUCCACGCUGUAAACGAUGAGUGCUAGGUGUCGGGGGAUUAUCCUUCGGUGCCGGAGUUAACGCAAUAAGCACUCCGCCUGGGGAGUACGGUCGCAAGACUGA